UGGGGAAUAUUGGACAAUGGGCGCAAGCCUGAUCCAGCCAUGCCGCGUGAGUGAUGAAGGCCUUAGGGUUGUAAAGCUCUUUCGCCGGUGAAGAUAAUGACGGUAACCGGAGAAGAAGCCCCGGCUAACUUCGUGCCAGCAGCCGCGGUAAUACGAAGGGGGCUAGCGUUGCUCGGAAUCACUGGGCGUAAAGCGCACGUAGGCGGAUCGUUAAGUCAGGGGUGAAAUCCUGGAGCUCAACUCCAGAACUGCCCUUGAUACUGGCGAUCUCGAGUUCGAGAGAGGUUGGUGGAACUCCGAGUGUAGAGGUGAAAUUCGUAGAUAUUCGGAAGAACACCAGUGGCGAAGGCGGCCAACUGGCUCGAUACUGACGCUGAGGUGCGAAAGCGUGGGGAGCAAAACAGGAUUAGAUACCCUGGUAGUCCACGCCGUAAACGAUGGAUGCUAGCCGUUGGGGUUGGAUCCUCUCAGUGGCGCAGCUAACGCCUUAAGCAUCCCGCCUGGGGAGUGCGGUCGCAAGAUUAAAAACUCAAAUGAAUUGACGGGGUCAUAGCUGUUUCCU
This 562-nucleotide ribosomal RNA is filed under the name uncultured bacterium. RNAcentral's name for it is "partial 16S ribosomal RNA". It matches the Rfam family "Bacterial small subunit ribosomal RNA", at positions 355 to 1375 of the family's 1533-position model. The record is from RNAcentral.